GGAGUCGGACGGGUCGUUGCCGCGGGUUCUUUGGGACCCGGGGAGGAAAGUCCGGGCUCCGCAGGGCGGGACGCUGGGUAACCCCCAGGGGGAGCGAUCCCCGGACAGUGCCACAGAAACAAACCGCCGACCCCGCACCCCGUGCGGGAGGCAAGGGUGAAAAGGUGGGGUAAGAGCCCACCGGCGGCUGCGGCGACGCAGCCGGCCAGGUAAACCCCGUCCGGAGCAAGGCCAAAUAGGGAGGCGUUCGAGGUCGGCCCGACCGAGCCUCCGGGUAGGCUGCUUGAGGCCGGGAGCAAUUCCGGUCCUAGAGGAAUGACGACCGCCCCGCAAGGGGUACAGAACCCGGCUUAUAGUCCGGCUCCCCUU
Molecule: RNase P RNA, 369 nt
Filed under: Desulfovibrio sp.
Lineage: Bacteria; Pseudomonadati; Thermodesulfobacteriota; Desulfovibrionia; Desulfovibrionales; Desulfovibrionaceae
Description: RNase P RNA component class A
Rfam family: Bacterial RNase P class A
About the family: Ribonuclease P (RNase P) is a ubiquitous endoribonuclease, found in archaea, bacteria and eukarya as well as chloroplasts and mitochondria.
Source: RNAcentral